Molecule: small RNA, 977 nt
Filed under: Pongo abelii (Sumatran orangutan)
Lineage: Eukaryota; Metazoa; Chordata; Mammalia; Primates; Hominidae
Description: retained intron
Source: RNAcentral
AGGAUCAACUUGCAGCAGACAUGUACAACUUUAUGGCCAAAGAAGGGGAAUAUGGCAAAUUCUUUGUUACGUUAUUAGAAGCCCAAGCAGAUUACCAUAGAAAAGCAUUAGCAGUCUUAGAAAAGACCCUCCCCGAAAUGCGAGCCCAUCAAGAUAAGUGGGCGGAAAAACCAGCCUUUGGGACUCCCCUAGAAGAACACCUGAAGAGGAGCGGGCGCGAGAUUGCGCUGCCCAUUGAAGCCUGUGUCAUGCUGCUUCUGGAGACAGGCAUGAAGGAGGAGGGCCUUUUCCGAAUUGGGGCUGGGGCCUCCAAGUUAAAGAAGCUGAAAGCUGCUUUGGACUGUUCUACUUCUCACCUGGAUGAGUUCUAUUCAGACCCCCAUGCUGUAGCAGGUGCUUUAAAAUCCUAUUUACGGGAAUUGCCUGAACCUUUGAUGACUUUUAAUCUGUAUGAAGAAUGGACACAAGUUGCAAGUGUGCAGGAUCAAGACAAAAAACUUCAAGACUUGUGGAGAACAUGUCAGAAGUUGCCACCACAAAAUUUUGUUAACUUUAGGUAUGUAUGAUUGAGCUACAAUGACUCUGGAGUGAAGAUAAGUUUAAUGCUCAGCAGAGAAGUCAUUUAAUUCAGGCAUACUUGGCACAUUAAAAAACAACAACAACAACAAAAAAAACACAUCACUUUGGAGAGUAACUUGGGGCUACUGGGAAUGGGAUUUCAUGUAUAUUAUGAUGAAUUUGAAGCAUCAGUAUCAUGCCUGACAUUAAUACGUAAGUUGGCUUAUCAUUUCCACACUACAGCUAUUAGCAAUAAAUUUCUUGUGAAAAGUUUGAGUGACUGUAUGUUGGGUUUGGAGUCCAAAUCAUCCAGUAUGUUAAAGGCAAAAUUAAUCAAUAGUUGUACAUUCUGUAAUGUCUUUUAUAUGUGCUACUUUAUUUUAAAGUAUAAAUCAUGUUACUAAAUAAAAUUUCAAGGA